RNAcentral lists this ribosomal RNA (2073 nucleotides) under Triticum aestivum (bread wheat). RNAcentral's name for it is "partial small subunit ribosomal RNA". The record is from RNAcentral. Lineage: Eukaryota; Viridiplantae; Streptophyta; Magnoliopsida; Poales; Poaceae.
GCCCUUAGUUUGCUCCGCGGCUCCGGUUCCUUCGUAAGCGUGGGCGCUCUCGAACGCUCCUUCUCCCCCUCCGGCCCUCCCUACCGCCGCCCCCGCCGCGGCGUCCCCCGCGGCUGCCACCUCCUCGUCCUCCUCCGCCGCCCCCACCCCUAGGACGACGUCUAUAGCUACGACCACGACCGCAAGCACGAGUCGGUGGAGGAGGCGGCGGCGUCCCAGAUGAUGGAGGGGCUCCGGUCGCGCAGCGAGGAGUAGCCCAACUAGCACCCUCCCGAACGAUCGCAUAGAUUGCGGGUCUUUUCAUGUUCCUCUACCAAGUUAAAGGCCCUCCUCGAGAAGAAAGACAAGAACGACGGAGGAUAAUAUAAGGUCAGGCCGAAGUCGAAUCGUGGUUUUGGUAAGAAGAGUUUGAAACCACGAUAAUAAUGAAAACGUUAACAACCUUGGAAUUAACGGAGGUAACAGUGCCCACAAAAUCAGAUGGAACGACCCAAUUAUGUAGAACAGAUAUCCUACGGAGACCAACUCACAUACUACAAACCACGGGAACACAGUCGUUGACUAGGACAUUGACACAACAGCUAUAAAGUCCUUGAACGGUGCCUACACUUGGAGAUACGUGACCAAAAGCCACUUAGACACGAUUUACUACGAUACCGUUAGAGGAACAUGUCCUGAUACCGUAGAGACUCCUGCUUACGAAGAUCGGUUUUGUAAAAGCAUCAAUAGAACUCCAAAGAACUCUUGAAGAAACCCAGUUACAGUUGUCCACAACCUCGACCUAAAUAAAGACGAGAGGAGAAGUUCAUAAGUUGUGAACCACAACUCUUGGAAAUAUUGGAGCUCUCGACGAACAAACAUCAAAAGGGUAUGAAGAGCAUGUACGAUCGACUUCCGAAACCAGACAGACCGUAUCAGAGUUAUGAGAAAUGACCUUAGCACUACUUCUCUAUGUGUAAGAGUUUGAACAGUCUCCUGAGGGUCGCAAAGUGACGACGUGAAAAGGUAGACGAAAGCAGUAAUCGUCUUUGAAAACACAAGUAUAUAUACCCUAAACUAUAACGCUACCUCGCAGUUUCGACCAGUGUGUAACCCAAGUAUAAAAAGAGUCAAUAGAAGUAUAAUCAACGUUCCCGACGUUUACAAAAGAGUACACGAAAGAACCAUUUAGACCAUGCCGGUGGAGUCGCCGUUUAUAGGUCCGUUAUAGUUGUCCGUGAAACCAUAUCACCAGAAUCUCCCCGAUACCGAAAACGGGAACGAGAAGUUAGACAAGUACUAGAAGGACUGCCGGUACCUGUCUGUUAAAACUCACGAUGGUAUAGAUAACAACAAGAUUGUCAUGAAGACUAACCUCCGAGUUGUUCGUGUUACGAACUUCGAGACGUACAACACCCUCUACCAUUACUUCCAGCAGCGGGAAGAAGUGAACUCCUGGUCCUCUUGAUACUCCCCUUGUUAUUACGCCCGUUGUAUCUUGACCCGUCACUUCUCCCCUGAAGAUGGUGUUCGUUUAAGUUUGACUUUGAGGUUCUUUAGGUCUUUUUGUGCGGCAGGAACCGGCGUAACCUGUCUUUGAUGGAGUGAGGUAAAAAGUGUAGAGUUUUGCCGCUAUCACUACUGCUGCUUGUACCAGGAUUGUCUCUCGGUGCCUCUAGAUUGCUCGACGUUCUGGACCUCUCGGUACCUAAUGGCCGAGCUCUCUGCCCGACUUCUCGGGGUAAAGCUGCCACAGCGCGUUAGCGAAGGCACAGUGGUAAUCAGGUUCCGUCGUAGACUGUGGGGUCGAUUGUUUGUGUCUCCUUUCUGUAUCGUAGAAUACCCGGCAGCUGUUACUAUCGAACGAGGUGUACAUUCAUCUACUAUCCUGGACGUGCAAAUUCAAUGGUCCAAUCAUUACCAUCGUCUACAAAAGGGGUCUGGGGUAUCGUCGAAGAACAUCUGAACAUGACACUACUUGAAAAGGAAAUGUCAACCUACAACUUAGCUGACUAAGAUAGUGGGACUGUUCGUUCCGUAGGUACACAGAAAAGGAAAAAGGAGAAAAAUAAACGGCGUACAAGUCUCGGGUGA